UGGGGAAUAUUGCACAAUGGGGGAAACCCUGAUGCAGCGACGCCGCGUGAACGAAGAAGGUAUUCGUAUCGUAAAGUUCUGUCCUAUGGGAAGAUAAUGACAGUACCAUAGAAGAAAGCUCCGGCUAAAUACGUGCCAGCAGCCGCGGUAAUACGUAUGGAGCGAGCGUUGUCCGGAACUAUUGGGCGUAAAGGGUACGCAGGCGGUUUAAUAAGUCGAAUGUUAAAGAUCGGGGCUCAACCCCGCAAAGCAUUGGAAACUGAUAAACUUGAGUAGUGGAGAGGAAAGUGGAAUUCCUAGUGUAGUGGUGAAAUACGUAGAUAUUAGGAGGAAUACCAGUAGCGAAGGCGACUUUCUGGACACAAACUGACGCUGAGGUACGAAAGCGUGGGGAGCAAACAGG
This 403-nucleotide ribosomal RNA is filed under the name bacterium. RNAcentral describes it as "partial 16S ribosomal RNA". It matches the Rfam family "Bacterial small subunit ribosomal RNA", at positions 355 to 776 of the family's 1533-position model. The record is from RNAcentral.